UGGCAAUGAUGACUAUCUUAGGACACCUUUGGAAUAACCAUGAAACAAACACAAGAUUCUGAGCCGC
Zootoca vivipara (common lizard) is the source of this 67-nucleotide small nucleolar RNA. RefSeq annotates it as small nucleolar RNA SNORD58. The record is from RefSeq and is a predicted model, not a curated record. NCBI's taxonomy places the organism in Eukaryota, Metazoa, Chordata, Lepidosauria, Squamata, Lacertidae.